UACGGAAGGCAGCAGUGGGGAAUAUUGCACAAUGGGCGCAAGCCUGAUGCAGCCAUGCCGCGCGUAUGAAGAAGGCCUUCGGGUUGUAAAGUACUUUCAGUCGUGAGGAAGGUGUUAAGGUUAAUAACCUUAGCAAUUGACGUUAGCGACAGAAGAAGCACCGGCUAACUCCGUGCCAGCAGCCGCGGUAAUACGGAGGGUGCGAGCGUUAAUCGGAAUUACUGGGCGUAAAGGGCACGCAGGCGGUUAAUUAAGUUGGAUGUGAAAUCCCCGGGCUUAACCUGGGAAUGGCAUUCAAGACUGGUUAGCUAGAGUCUUGUAGAGGGGGUAGAAUUCCAUGUGUAGCGGUGAAAUGCGUAGAGAUGUGGAGGAAUACCGGUGGCGAAGGCGGCCCCUGGACAAAGACUGACGCUCAUGUGCGAAAGCGUGGGGAGCAAACAGGAUUAGAUACC
This 452-nucleotide ribosomal RNA is filed under the name uncultured bacterium. RNAcentral describes it as "bacterial SSU rRNA". It matches the Rfam family "Bacterial small subunit ribosomal RNA", at positions 340 to 786 of the family's 1533-position model. The record is from RNAcentral.